RNAcentral lists this transfer RNA (71 nucleotides) under Ictidomys tridecemlineatus (thirteen-lined ground squirrel). Its description in RNAcentral is "Spermophilus tridecemlineatus (thirteen-lined ground squirrel) tRNA". It matches the Rfam family "tRNA". Rfam says of the family: Transfer RNA (tRNA) molecules are approximately 80 nucleotides in length. Their secondary structure includes four short double-helical elements and three loops (D, anti-codon, and T loops). The record is from Rfam by way of RNAcentral. Lineage: Eukaryota; Metazoa; Chordata; Mammalia; Rodentia; Sciuridae.
GAGGGUGUGGCUCAGUGGCAGAACACUUGCCUAGUAUGCAGAAGGCCCUGGGUUCAAUUCCCAGAUCAUCA